GAUGAACGCUGGCGGCGUGCUUAACACAUGCAAGUCGAACGGAAAGGCCCAAGCUUGCUUGGGUACUCGAGUGGCGAACGGGUGAGUAACACGUGGGUGAUCUGCCCUGCACUUCGGGAUAAGCCUGGGAAACUGGGUCUAAUACCGGAUAGGACCACUUCUUGGAUGUUGUGGUGGAAAGUUUUUUCGGUGUGGGAUGAGCUCGCGGCCUAUCAGCUUGUUGGUGGGGUAAUGGCCUACCAAGGCGUCGACGGGUAGCCGGCCUGAGAGGGUGUACGGCCACAUUGGGACUGAGAUACGGCCCAGACUCCUACGGGAGGCAGCAGGGGGGAAUAUUGCACAAUGGGCGCAAGCCUGAUGCAGCGACGCCGCGUGGGGGAGGACGGCCUUCGGGUUGUAAACUCCUUUCGCUAGGGACGAAGCGUUUUGUGACGGUACCUGGAGAAGAAGCACCGGCUAACUACGUG
RNAcentral lists this ribosomal RNA (467 nucleotides) under uncultured bacterium. Its description in RNAcentral is "partial 16S ribosomal RNA". It matches the Rfam family "Bacterial small subunit ribosomal RNA", at positions 28 to 507 of the family's 1533-position model. The record is from RNAcentral.